Molecule: ribosomal RNA, 483 nt
Filed under: uncultured Gammaproteobacteria bacterium
Lineage: Bacteria; Pseudomonadati; Pseudomonadota; Gammaproteobacteria
Description: bacterial SSU rRNA
Rfam family: Bacterial small subunit ribosomal RNA
Source: RNAcentral
AUUGAACGCUGGCGGAAUGCUUUACACAUGCAAGUCGAACGGCAGCACGGGGGCAACCCUGGUGGCGAGUGGCGAACGGGUGAGUAAUGUAUCGGAACGUACCCAGUCGUGGGGGAUAACUAUCCGAAAGGAUAGCUAAUACCGCAUACGCUACGGGGGAAAGCAGGGGAUCUUCGGACCUUGCGUUAAUCGAUGAGCCUAGGUCGGAUUAGCUAGUUGGUGAGGUAAAGGCUCACCAAGGCGACGAUCUGUAGCGGGUCUGAGAGGAUGAUCCGCCACACUGGAACUGAGACACGGUCCAGACCCUACGGGAGGCAGCAGUGGGGAAUAUUGGGCAAUGGGGGCAACCCUGAUCCAGCCAUGCCGCGUGUGUGAAGAAGGCCUUUUGGUUGUAAAGCACUUUAAGCGAGGAGGAGGGUACCCUGAUUAAUACUCAGGAAUAUCGGACGUUACUCGCAGAAUAAGCACCGGCUAACUCUGUGC